RNAcentral lists this ribosomal RNA (433 nucleotides) under uncultured bacterium. RNAcentral describes it as "partial 16S ribosomal RNA". It matches the Rfam family "Bacterial small subunit ribosomal RNA", at positions 29 to 507 of the family's 1533-position model. The record is from RNAcentral.
AACGAACGCUGGCGGCAGGCCUAACACAUGCAAGUCGAGCGAGCCUUUCGGGUUUAGUGGCGGACGGGUGAGUAACGCGUGGGAACGUGCCUUUAUCUUCGGAAUAACUCAGGGAAACUGGGGCUAAUACCGAAUAUGCCCUUCGGGGGAAAGAUUUAUCGCCGUAGGAGCGGCCCGCGUCGGAUUAGCUAGUUGGUUGGGGAAUGGCCCACCCAGGCGACGAUCCAUAGCUGGUUUGAGAGGAUGAUCAGCCACACUGGGACUGAGACACGGCCCAGACUCCUACGGGAGGCAGCAGUGGGGAAUCUUGCACAAUGGGCGAAAGCCUGACGCAGCCAUGCCGCGUGAAUGAUGAAGGCCUUAGGGUUGUAAAACUCUUUCACCUGGGAAGAUAAUGACGGUACCAGGAGAAGAAGCCCCGGCUAACUCCGUG